This is a non-coding RNA of Caenorhabditis elegans, 165 nucleotides long. The record is from Ensembl. Lineage: Eukaryota; Metazoa; Nematoda; Chromadorea; Rhabditida; Rhabditidae.
GAGUUUCUGGCGGACCAUCAAAUCGCUAAUUGAAUUCGCGCAUUUUCGUGUUUUGAGUGCGUCCGCAUCCUUGCGAGGGGAAAUACGAUUUACAUCGAUCUCGAGAUAAUUCGAUUCAAGCUGUUGCACACGUCCUCCCGACAAACACUGGAGAAGAGCACCCAC